This 369-nucleotide transfer-messenger RNA is filed under the name Microbacteriaceae bacterium. It matches the Rfam family "transfer-messenger RNA". Rfam says of the family: Bacterial tmRNA, also known as 10Sa RNA or SsrA, is named for its dual tRNA and mRNA-like properties. Its role is to liberate the mRNA from a stalled ribosome. Lineage: Bacteria; Bacillati; Actinomycetota; Actinomycetes; Micrococcales; Microbacteriaceae. The record is from RNAcentral.
GGGGAUGAUCGGUUUCGACACUGUAGAUGUGCGUGGAUGAAGCGGGUCGAGGAUGCAGAGUUAUCUCGUUAACGCUCUCUGCAAAACUAUAGGUGCCAAAUCAAAGCGCGCCGACUUCGCCCUAGCUGCUUAAGCUAGCCCCGAAGUCCGUCUGACUGAGUUUGAUUUCGACUCAGAAUCAAGACGUCAUUUAGAAAUCUCGCUGGUUGGUAGCGUCUAGGUGCCAUCCGGGACUUUAUACCUGGACUGGGCCCGUCGGUUAGGUCGCUUCAAGCUAUGACCGGGGCCGAGAAAACAGUAUUGAAGCUACACCCGUAGAAUCUCCAUAAUCGCUGCCGUGGACGGGGGUUCAAUUCCCCCCAUCUCCAC